CCACGGAUGUUCGAGCAUGUGCU
RNAcentral lists this microRNA (23 nucleotides) under Pteropus alecto (black flying fox). RNAcentral describes it as "pal-miR-105-3p". Its record names the gene pal-miR-105-3p. Lineage: Eukaryota; Metazoa; Chordata; Mammalia; Chiroptera; Pteropodidae. The record is from miRBase by way of RNAcentral.